Molecule: transfer RNA, 60 nt
Filed under: Flavobacteriales bacterium
Lineage: Bacteria; Pseudomonadati; Bacteroidota; Flavobacteriia; Flavobacteriales
Description: tRNA-OTHER
Rfam family: tRNA
About the family: Transfer RNA (tRNA) molecules are approximately 80 nucleotides in length. Their secondary structure includes four short double-helical elements and three loops (D, anti-codon, and T loops). Further hydrogen bonds mediate the characteristic L-shaped molecular structure. tRNAs have two regions of fundamental functional importance: the anti-codon, which is responsible for specific mRNA codon recognition, and the 3' end, to which the tRNAs corresponding amino acid is attached (by aminoacyl-tRNA synthetases). tRNAs cope with the degeneracy of the genetic code in two manners: having more than one tRNA (with a specific anti-codon) for a particular amino acid; and 'wobble' base-pairing, i.e. permitting non-standard base-pairing at the 3rd anti-codon position.
Source: RNAcentral
CGCUAGACUUAGGAUCUAGUGCCGUGAGGUGUGUGGGUUCGAGUCCCUCCAUCCGCACCA